RNAcentral lists this ribosomal RNA (440 nucleotides) under uncultured bacterium. RNAcentral's name for it is "partial 16S ribosomal RNA". It matches the Rfam family "Bacterial small subunit ribosomal RNA", at positions 338 to 795 of the family's 1533-position model. The record is from RNAcentral.
CCUACGGGGUGCAGCAGUGGGGGAUAUUGCACAAUGGGGGGAACCCUGAUGCAGCGACGCCGCGUGAGCGAUGAAGUAUUUCGGUAUGUAAAGCUCUAUCAGCAGGGAAGAAAAUGACGGUACCUGACUAAGAAGCCCCGGCUAACUACGUGCCAGCAGCCGCGGUAAUACGUAGGGGGCAAGCGUUAUCCGGAUUUACUGGGUGUAAAGGGAGCGUAGACGGCUGUGCAAGCCAGAUGUGAAAGCCCGGGGCUCAACCCCGGGACUGCAUUUGGAACUGUGUGGCUGGAGUGUCGGAGAGGCAGGCGGAAUUCCUAGUGUAGCGGUGAAAUGCGUAGAUAUUAGGAGGAACACCAGUGGCGAAGGCGGCGUGCUGGACGAUGACUGACGUUGAGGCUCGAAAGCGUGGGGAGCAAACAGGAUUAGAUACCCUUGUAGUC